AGAAUCAACGCUGGCGGCGUGCCUAACACAUGCAAGUCGCACGAGAAAGGGACUUCGGUCCUGAGUAAAGUGGCGCACGGGUGAGUAACACGUGAAUCAUCUACCUCCGAGUGGGGAAUAACCUAGAGAAAUCUGGGCUAAUACCGCAUAACACUUACGAGUCAAAGCAGCAGUGCGCUUGGAGAGGAGUUCGCGGCAGAUUAGUUAGUUGGCGGGGUAAUGGCCCACCAAGACGAUGAUCUGUA
Molecule: ribosomal RNA, 245 nt
Filed under: uncultured bacterium
Lineage: Bacteria
Description: partial small subunit ribosomal RNA
Rfam family: Bacterial small subunit ribosomal RNA
Source: RNAcentral